AGGAAAAAAUGGAUUUGGAUUUGGCUUUAGCUUCAUUGGACUGUAGAUACUGGAGAUGACUUUGAGGAAAUUCUAGGUUAAAUUGUUGAUUCAAAAGAAACAGUGACACCAGAAUGGUUGUUCUUGAAAACAAAUAUGAUUAGAUAAGUCUCUUCCUUAAGACAUCGGUAAUAUGUGCCUCAAUGACUAAAUAAGGCAUAAAAGACUAAUUGAUUUGGUCUACUCUGUAAGUUUCACAAGUUCAAAUAUCUCAUUAUUUUUUUCAAUGUUUUGUAGAAGCAGAGAAAAAAAUUGUAUUUACACGUUAAAAUCGUCUGUGGAGAUUCAACAAAACGUCCGGUGCUCCACCUCUGCCCCAUCAGUGACAUCAGAAUCCCUGAGACUUACUUGAAUAUCCGGUCAUGCACAGCAACACUGACUACAUGAUGCUGCCGCUAAGCAACUUUUCCCCAUUUUCUCCUUGUGCAAUUGGAUUUCAGGACAUUGAGCUCUACCUCAGUUUCAUUCUUAGAGUGAAAACCAAAUAGACGACUGAAUAUACGAUUUGGAAGUAUGUCUUUAAAUGAGUCAUACAAAUGAAUUAAUACUCACAGAAAAGAAAAACAGUGUUAUUGCUAACCAAAGGGAGGGCAGCUCUUUAUUUAUGCAUAUAUCCAAUGAAAAUGUGAACACAUGAUCUUGAAGAAAGGUACAUUCCAAUGUCUUUUUCCCAGGAUUUUAUGAGUUGAUGUGCUUUUAUUACUUAUGCGAGCUUUAAACUAAUUCACGUUAUAUUUUAGGUAAAAGGGAAACUAAUUCAUGUUAUAUUUUGGGUGAAAGGGCAGUCUUUCUGAAACACAUCUGGAUAACUGAUUUUUUCCUUGCGAAAUGUACAUUAUCCCUGAAUAUUCUGAUAUAUUUGCUAACAUGAUAGACAUGCAAAGCAAGCAUAGAAUUGCUGUUAGGCCAUUGAGCAAACCCUAAUAUACUUCACUUGAGAUAUCUUUAAUUAAUCUUGAUACAUUGAAUUAUGUCCAUUUCUCAGGUAAAACAAUAGAAGUCAUUGGGUAUAGGUUUAAAAAAUAAGACUUUAAAGGGUUUUCUAGAACAAAAGUAAUUUGUAUUUCUUUUUACUCAUUUAAAAGUAGGUUUUAAAGUUAAAUUGCAUACAGCAAAUGCAAGAUGAGAUUUAACCUGAAACAAAAACUAGAAAAUUAUUUUUGAUUUUGGUUUGGUACAGUAUGGAAAUCUCCUUGUUUAACAUAUCUGUUGAAAUGAGCAAAUGGCAUGAUCCAGGCUGUUAACUCACUAUACCCUUUCUUGUGUGUGUGUGUAUUUCCAUGCGUUAAUAAAAUUGAACUCACUGAAUAUGUUUACUGCAUGUUUUAUUCUAUGCUGUAUGUCUCUCCUUUAAUAUAGCUAGAGAACAUGCAUUGCAUAUACACUCAGAAGCCGUGACUAUAUGUAAUAAAAGUAUCUCCAGAGAUGACUCAAAAU
Diceros bicornis minor is the source of this 1476-nucleotide long non-coding RNA. RefSeq lists it as uncharacterized. The record is from RefSeq and is a predicted model, not a curated record. The transcript is spliced from 3 exons. Lineage: Eukaryota; Metazoa; Chordata; Mammalia; Perissodactyla; Rhinocerotidae.